GAUGGAAAAAAAGCGCUGGUGCUUGGAGAGAAACCAAGCAGACGAGGAAGAGGUUUAUCGAGCAGUCAGCGGAUGCCUCUCGGCGACUGCCGUCGUUAGCUGACCGACAAAACUGCAGGGUGACUUGCGGAACAAAACGGCAGCAUGCAGCAUG
Molecule: non-coding RNA, 154 nt
Filed under: Sporomusa sphaeroides
Lineage: Bacteria; Bacillati; Bacillota; Negativicutes; Selenomonadales; Sporomusaceae
Also listed under: 1 other name
Description: Sporomusa sp. GlcN6P sequence
Rfam family: glmS glucosamine-6-phosphate activated ribozyme aptamer
About the family: This entry contains a glucosamine-6-phosphate activated ribozyme that is found in the mRNA for GlmS. GlmS is an enzyme that uses fructose-6-phosphate and glutamine to generate glucosamine-6-phosphate.
Source: RNAcentral